CUAACACAUGCAAGUCGAAUGGUAGCACAGAGAGCUUGCUCUCAGGUGACGAGUGGCAGAUGGGUGAGUAAUGUCUGGGAAACUGCCUGAUGGAGGGGGACAAGUACUGGAAACGGUAGCUAAUACCGCAUAACGUGGCAAGACCAAAGAGGGGGACCUUCGGGCCUCUUGCCAUCAGAUGUGCCCAGAUGGGAUUAGCUAGUCGGUGGGGUAACGGCUCACCUAGGAGACGAUCCCUAGCUGGUCUGAGAGGAUGACCAGCCACACUGGAACUGAGACACGGUCCAGACUCCUACGGGAGGCAGCAGUGGGGAAUAUUGCACAAUGGGCGCAAGCCUGAUGCAGCCAUGCCGCGUGUAUGAAGAAGGCCUUCGGGUUGUAAAGUACUUUCAGCGGGGAGGAAGGUGUUGUGGUUAAUAACCACAGCAAUUGACGUUACCCGCAGAAGAAGCACCGGCUAACUCCGUGCCAGCAGCCGCGGUAAUACGGAGGGUGCAAGCGUUAAUCGGAAUUACUGGGCGUAAAGCGCACGCAGGCGGUCUGUCAAGUCGGAUGUGAAAUCCCCGGGCUCAACCUGGGAACUGCAUUCGAAACUGGCAGGCUGGAGUCUUGUAGAGGGGGGUAGAAUUCCAGGUGUAGCGGUGAAAUGCGUAGAGAUCUGGAGGAAUACCGGUGGCGAAGGCGGCCCCCUGGACAAAGACUGACGCUCAGGUGCGAAAGCGUGGGGAGCAAACAGGAUUAGAUACCCUGGUAGUCCACGCCGUAAACGAUGUCGAUUUGGAGGUUGUGGCCCUUGGAGGCGUGGCUUCCGGAGCUAACCGCGUUAAAUCGACCGCCUGGGGAGUACGGCCGCAAGGUUAAAACUCAAAUGAAUUGACGGGGGCCCGCACAAGCGGUGGAGCAUGUGGUUUAAUUCGAUGCAACGCGAAGAACCUUACCUGGUCUUGACAUCCACAGAACUUUCCAGAGAUGGAUUGGUGCCUUCGGGAACUGUGAGACAGGUGCUGCAUGGCUGUCGUCAGCUCGUGUUGUGAAAUGUUGGGUUAAGUCCCGCAACGAGCGCAACCCUUAUCCUUUGUUGCCAGCGGUUAGGCCGGGAACUCAAAGGAGACUGCCAGUGAUAAACUGGAGGAAGGUGGGGAUGACGUCUAGUCAUCAUGGCCCUUACUACCAGGGCUACACACGUGCUACAAUGUCGCAUACUUUGAUAACCGACCUCGCGAGAGCAAGC
Molecule: ribosomal RNA, 1231 nt
Filed under: Enterobacter sp.
Lineage: Bacteria; Pseudomonadati; Pseudomonadota; Gammaproteobacteria; Enterobacterales; Enterobacteriaceae
Description: bacterial SSU rRNA
Rfam family: Bacterial small subunit ribosomal RNA
Source: RNAcentral